GAUUAGCUAGUUGGUGGGGUAAAAGCCUACCAAGGCAACGAUCAGUAGCCGGCCUGAGAGGGUGAACGGCCACAUUGGGACUGAGACACGGCCCAAACUCCUACGGGAGGCAGCAGUGGGGAAUAUUGCACAAUGGGGGAAACCCUGAUGCAGCGACGCCGCGUGAGUGAAGAAGUAUUUCGGUAUGUAAAGCUCUAUCAGCAGGGAAGAAAUACUGACCAUAGGGUCAGCAGACGGUACUUGACUAAGAAGCCCCGGCUAACUACGUGCCAGCAGCCGCGGUAAUACGUAGGGGGCAAGCGUUAUCCGGAUUUACUGGGUGUAAAGGGAGCGUAGACGGCAGCGCAAGUCUGAAGUGAAAUGCCAGGGCUUAACCCUGGAACUGCUUUGGAAACUGUGCAGCUAGAGUGCAGGAGAGGUAAGUGGAAUUUCUAGUGUAGCGGUGAAAUGCGUAGAUAUUAGGAGGAACACCAGUGGCGAAGGCGGCUUACUGGACUGUAACUGACGUUGAGGCUCGAAAGCGUGGGGAGCAAACAGGAUUAGAUACCCUGGUAGUCCACGCUGUAAACGAUGAUUACUAGGUGUUGGGGGACCAAGGUUCUUCG
RNAcentral lists this ribosomal RNA (605 nucleotides) under uncultured bacterium. RNAcentral describes it as "bacterial SSU rRNA". It matches the Rfam family "Bacterial small subunit ribosomal RNA", at positions 239 to 842 of the family's 1533-position model. The record is from RNAcentral.